UGAACGCUGGCGGCGUGCCUACUACAUGCACGUCGAGCGAACAGACGAGGAGCUUGCUCCUCUGACGUUAGCGGCGGACGGGUGAGUAACACGUGGAUAACCUACCUAUAAGACUGGGAUAACUUCGGGAAACCGGAGCUAAUACCGGAUAAUAUAUUGAACCGCAUGGUUCACUAGUGAAAGACGGUUUUGCUGUCACUUAUAGAUGGAUCCGCGCCGCAUUAGCUAGUUGGUAAGGUAACGGCUUACCAAGGCAACGAUGCGUAGCCGACCUGAGAGGGUGAUCGGCCACACUGGAACUGAGACACGGUCCAGACUCCUACGGGAGGCAGCAGUAGGGAAUCUUCCGCAAUGGGCGAAAGCUUGACGGAGCAACGCCGCGUGAGUGAUGAAGGUCUUCGGAUCGUAAAACUCUGUUAUUAGGGAAGAACAAAUGUGUAAGUAACUAUGCACGUCUUGACGGUACCUAAUCAGAAAGCCACGGCUAACUACGUG
Molecule: ribosomal RNA, 495 nt
Filed under: uncultured bacterium
Lineage: Bacteria
Description: partial 16S ribosomal RNA
Rfam family: Bacterial small subunit ribosomal RNA
Source: RNAcentral